RNAcentral lists this ribosomal RNA (820 nucleotides) under Escherichia coli. Its description in RNAcentral is "partial 23S ribosomal RNA". It matches the Rfam family "Bacterial large subunit ribosomal RNA", at positions 418 to 1240 of the family's 2925-position model. Lineage: Bacteria; Pseudomonadati; Pseudomonadota; Gammaproteobacteria; Enterobacterales; Enterobacteriaceae. The record is from RNAcentral.
CGGGACACGUGGUAUCCUGUCUGAAUAUGGGGGGACCAUCCUCCAAGGCUAAAUACUCCUGACUGACCGAUAGUGAACCAGUACCGUGAGGGAAAGGCGAAAAGAACCCCGGCGAGGGGAGUGAAAAAGAACCUGAAACCGUGUACGUACAAGCAGUGGGAGCCUCUUAAUGGGGUGACUGCGUACCUUUUGUAUAAUGGGUCAGCGACUUAUAUUCUGUAGCAAGGUUAACCGAAUAGGGGAGCCGAAGGGAAACCGAGUCUUAACUGGGCGUUAAGUUGCAGGGUAUAGACCCGAAACCCGGUGAUCUAGCCAUGGGCAGGUUGAAGGUUGGGUAACACUAACUGGAGGACCGAACCGACUAAUGUUGAAAAAUUAGCGGAUGACUUGUGGCUGGGGGUGAAAGGCCAAUCAAACCGGGAGAUAGCUGGUUCUCCCCGAAAGCUAUUUAGGUAGCGCCUCGUGAAUUCAUCUCCGGGGGUAGAGCACUGUUUCGGCAAGGGGGUCAUCCCGACUUACCAACCCGAUGCAAACUGCGAAUACCGGAGAAUGUUAUCACGGGAGACACACGGCGGGUGCUAACGUCCGUCGUGAAGAGGGAAACAACCCAGACCGCCAGCUAAGGUCCCAAAGUCAUGGUUAAGUGGGAAACGAUGUGGGAAGGCCCAGACAGCCAGGAUGUUGGCUUAGAAGCAGCCAUCAUUUAAAGAAAGCGUAAUAGCUCACUGGUCGAGUCGGCCUGCGCGGAAGAUGUAACGGGGCUAAACCAUGCACCGAAGCUGCGGCAGCGACACUGUGUGUUGUUGGGUAGGGGAGCGUU